GGAGCGGUAGUUCAGUUGGUUGGAAUACCGGCCUGUCACGCCGGGGGUCGCGGGUUCGAGCCCCGUCCACUCCGCCA
This 77-nucleotide transfer RNA is filed under the name Legionellales bacterium. RNAcentral's name for it is "tRNA-Asp". It matches the Rfam family "tRNA". Rfam says of the family: Transfer RNA (tRNA) molecules are approximately 80 nucleotides in length. Their secondary structure includes four short double-helical elements and three loops (D, anti-codon, and T loops). Further hydrogen bonds mediate the characteristic L-shaped molecular structure. tRNAs have two regions of fundamental functional importance: the anti-codon, which is responsible for specific mRNA codon recognition, and the 3' end, to which the tRNAs corresponding amino acid is attached (by aminoacyl-tRNA synthetases). tRNAs cope with the degeneracy of the genetic code in two manners: having more than one tRNA (with a specific anti-codon) for a particular amino acid; and 'wobble' base-pairing, i.e. permitting non-standard base-pairing at the 3rd anti-codon position. Lineage: Bacteria; Pseudomonadati; Pseudomonadota; Gammaproteobacteria; Legionellales. The record is from RNAcentral.